RNAcentral lists this ribosomal RNA (583 nucleotides) under Macrophomina phaseolina. Its description in RNAcentral is "eukaryotic LSU rRNA". The stretch from base 213 to 366 matches the Rfam family "5.8S ribosomal RNA". Lineage: Eukaryota; Fungi; Ascomycota; Dothideomycetes; Botryosphaeriales; Botryosphaeriaceae. The record is from RNAcentral.
UCCGUUGGUGAACCAGCGGAAGGAUCAUUACCGAGUUGAUUCGGGCUCCGUCCCGAUCCUCCCACCCUUUGUAUACCUACCUCUGUUGCCUUGGCGGGCCGCGGUCUUCCGCGGCCGCCCCCCGAUUUUGGGGGGUGGCUAGUGCCCGCCAGAGGACUAUCAAACUCCAGUCAGUAAACGUUGCAGUCUGAAAAAAAUAUUAAAUAAACUAAAACUUUCAACAACGGAUCUCUUGGUUCUGGCAUCGAUGAAGAACGCAGCGAAAUGCGAUAAGUAAUGUGAAUUGCAGAAUUCAGUGAAUCAUCGAAUCUUUGAACGCACAUUGCGCCCCUUGGUAUUCCGGGGGGCAUGCCUGUUCGAGCGUCAUUUCAACCCUCAAGCUCUGCUUGGUAUUGGGCACCGUCCUUUGCGGGCGCGCCUCAAAGACCUCGGCGGUGGCGUCUUGCCUCAAGCGUAGUAGAAUACACCUCGCUUCGGAGCGUAAGGCGUCGCCCGCCGGACGAACCUUCUGAACUUUUCUCAAGGUUGACCUCGGAUCAGGUAGGGAUACCCGCUGAACUUAAGCAUAUCAAUAAGCGGAGGA